UGGCAGAGGUUACUGCUAUCGGUGUUCGCCUAAGCCAUGCGAGUCAUAUGUAGCAAUACAUGGCGUACUGCUCAGUAACACGUGGAUAACCUGCCCUUGGGACCGGCAUAACCCCGGGAAACUGGGGAUAAUUCCGGAUAACGCAUAUGUGCUGGAAUGCUUUAUGCGUAAAAUGGAUUCGUCUGCCCAAGGAUGGGUCUGCGGCCUAUCAGGUAGUAGUGGGUGUAAUGUACCUACUAGCCGACAACGGGUACGGGUUGUGAGAGCAAGAGCCCGGAGAUGGAUUCUGAGACAUGAAUCCAGGCCCUACGGGGCGCAGCAGGCGCGAAAACUUUACAAUGCGGGAAACCGUGAUAAGGGGACACCGAGUGCCAGCAUCAUAUGCUGGCUGUCCGGGUGUGUAAAAUACACCUGUUAGCAAGGGCCGGGCAAGACCGGUGCCAGCCGCCGCGGUAACACCGGCGGCCCGAGUGGUGAUCGUGAUUAUUGGGUCUAAAGGGUCCGUAGCCGGUUUGGUCAGUCCUCCGGGAAAUCUGAUAGCUCAACUAUUAGGCUUUCGGGGGAUACUGCCAGACUUGGAACCGGGAGAGGUAAGAGGUACUACAGGGGUAGGAGUGAAAUCUUGUAAUCCCUGUGGGACCACCUGUGGCGAAGGCGUCUUACCAGAACGGGUUCGACGGUGAGGGACGAAAGCUGGGGGCACGAACCGGAUUAGAUACCCGGGUAGUCCCAGCCGUAAACGAUGCUCGCUAGGUGUCAGGCAUGGCGCGACCGUGUCUGGUGCCGCAGGGAAGCCGUGAAGCGAGCCACCUGGGAAGUACGGCCGCAAGGCUGAAACUUAA
RNAcentral lists this ribosomal RNA (842 nucleotides) under uncultured archaeon. RNAcentral describes it as "bacterial SSU rRNA". It matches the Rfam family "Archaeal small subunit ribosomal RNA", at positions 15 to 859 of the family's 1478-position model. The record is from RNAcentral.